CGGGGGAAUGCAGACUCCCCGUCAGACGGCUCUCCGUCCAAGUUCUGC
RNAcentral lists this non-coding RNA (48 nucleotides) under unclassified sequences. RNAcentral describes it as "chromate-resist RNA". It matches the Rfam family "chrB-b RNA". The record is from RNAcentral.